RNAcentral lists this transfer RNA (72 nucleotides) under Bos taurus (domestic cattle). It matches the Rfam family "tRNA". Rfam says of the family: Transfer RNA (tRNA) molecules are approximately 80 nucleotides in length. Their secondary structure includes four short double-helical elements and three loops (D, anti-codon, and T loops). The record is from Rfam by way of RNAcentral. RNAcentral also lists the same sequence under 2 other names. Lineage: Eukaryota; Metazoa; Chordata; Mammalia; Artiodactyla; Bovidae.
UUCCUGGUGGUCCAGUGGUCAGACUCUGUGUUCCCAAAGCAGAGAGCCUGGGUUCAAUCCCUGGUCAGGGAA